CAGCCGCCGCGGGAAUACGUAGGUGGCAAGCGUUGUCCGGAAUUAUUGGGCGUAAAGGGCUCGCAGGCGGUUUCUUAAGUCUGAUGUGAAAGCCCCCGGCUCAACCGGGGAGGGUCAUUGGAAACUGGGAAACUUGAGUGCAGAAGAGGAGAGUGGAAUUCCACGUGUAGCGGUGAAAUGCGUAGAGAUGUGGAGGAACAUCAGUGGCGAAGGCGACUCUCUGGUCUGUAACUGACGCUGAGGAGCGAAAGCGUGGGGAGCGAACAGGAUUAGAUACCCCAGUAGUCCCUGUCUCUUAUAC
RNAcentral lists this ribosomal RNA (301 nucleotides) under uncultured bacterium. RNAcentral describes it as "partial 16S ribosomal RNA". It matches the Rfam family "Bacterial small subunit ribosomal RNA", at positions 509 to 807 of the family's 1533-position model. The record is from RNAcentral.